AGCGAACGCUGGCGGCAGGCCUAACACAUGCAAGUCGAACGAGGUCUUCGGACCUAGUGGCGGACGGGUGAGUAACACGUGGGAACGUGCCCUUUGGUACGGAAUAACUCAGGGAAACUUGAGCUAAUACCGUAUGUGCCCUUCGGGGGAAAGAUUUAUCGCCAUUGGAGCGGCCCGCGUCUGAUUAGCUAGUUGGUGAGGUAAUAGCUCACCAAGGCGACGAUCAGUAGCUGGUCUGAGAGGAUGACCAGCCACAUUGGGACUGAGACACGGCCCAAACUCCUACGGGAGGCAGCAGUGGGGAAUCUUGCGCAAUGGGCGAAAGCCUGACGCAGCCAUGCCGCGUGGAUGAUGAAGGUCUUAGGAUUGUAAAAUCCUUUCACCGGUGAAGAUAAUGACUGUAGCCGGAGAAGAAGCCCCGGCUAACUUCGUGCCAGCCGCCGCCGUAA
Molecule: ribosomal RNA, 449 nt
Filed under: uncultured bacterium
Lineage: Bacteria
Description: partial 16S ribosomal RNA
Rfam family: Bacterial small subunit ribosomal RNA
Source: RNAcentral